This 28-nucleotide non-coding RNA is filed under the name Homo sapiens (human). The record is from RNAcentral. Lineage: Eukaryota; Metazoa; Chordata; Mammalia; Primates; Hominidae.
UGGACCUGGACUUGUGACGCUGAUGGAU